Molecule: ribosomal RNA, 2345 nt
Filed under: Salmonella enterica
Lineage: Bacteria; Pseudomonadati; Pseudomonadota; Gammaproteobacteria; Enterobacterales; Enterobacteriaceae
Also listed under: 1 other name
Description: partial 23S ribosomal RNA
Rfam family: Bacterial large subunit ribosomal RNA
Source: RNAcentral
UGGGCGUUAAGUUGCAGGGUAUAGACCCGAAACCCGGUGAUCUAGCCAUGGGCAGGUUGAAGGUUGGGUAACACUAACUGGAGGACCGAACCGACUAAUGUUGAAAAAUUAGCGGAUGACCUGUGGCUGGGGGUGAAAGGCCAAUCAAACCGGGAGAUAGCUGGUUCUCCCCGAAAGCUAUUUAGGUAGCGCCUCGUGAAUUCAUCUCCGGGGGUAGAGCACUGUUUCGGCUAGGGGGCCAUCCCGGCUUACCAACCCGAUGCAAACUGCGAAUACCGGAGAAUGUUAUCACGGGAGACACACGGCGGGUGCUAACGUCCGUCGUGAAGAGGGAAACAACCCAGACCGCCAGCUAAGGUCCCAAAGUCAUGGUUAAGUGGGAAACGAUGUGGGAAGGCCCAGACAGCCAGGAUGUUGGCUUAGAAGCAGCCAUCAUUUAAAGAAAGCGUAAUAGCUCACUGGUCGAGUCGGCCUGCGCGGAAGAUGUAACGGGGCUAAACCAUGCACCGAAGCUGCGGCAGCGAACGUAUCACCCAAGACAACUUUACGGAGUUGACGAUUGACGGAGCGAAGCGACGUCAAAGCGUUCAUUAAAGUCGAGUUGGCUUAGGGAUACGUUCGUUGGGUAGGGGAGCGUUCUGUAAGCCUGUGAAGGUGUGUCGUGAGGCAUGCUGGAGGUAUCAGAAGUGCGAAUGCUGACAUAAGUAACGAUAAAGCGGGUGAAAAGCCCGCUCGCCGGAAGACCAAGGGUUCCUGUCCAACGUUAAUCGGGGCAGGGUGAGUCGACCCCUAAGGCGAGGCCGAAAGGCGUAGUCGAUGGGAAACGGGUUAAUAUUCCCGUACUUGGUGUUACUGCGAAGGGGGGACGGAGAAGGCUAUGUUGGCCGGGCGACGGUUGUCCCGGUUUAAGCGUGUAGGUGUGUGUUCCAGGUAAAUCCGGUUCACUUUAACACUGAGGCGUGACGACGAGGCACUACGGUGCUGAAGCAACAAAUGCCCUGCUUCCAGGAAAAGCCUCUAAGCAUCAGGUAACACGAAAUCGUACCCCAAACCGACACAGGUGGUCAGGUAGAGAAUACCAAGGCGCUUGAGAGAACUCGGGUGAAGGAACUAGGCAAAAUGGUGCCGUAACUUCGGGAGAAGGCACGCUGACACGUAGGUGAAGUGAUUUACUCAUGGAGCUGAAGUCAGUCGAAGAUACCAGCUGGCUGCAACUGUUUAUUAAAAACACAGCACUGUGCAAACACGAAAGUGGACGUAUACGGUGUGACGCCUGCCCGGUGCCGGAAGGUUAAUUGAUGGGGUCAGCGUAAGCGAAGCUCCUGAUCGAAGCCCCGGUAAACGGCGGCCGUAACUAUAACGGUCCUAAGGUAGCGAAAUUCCUUGUCGGGUAAGUUCCGACCUGCACGAAUGGCGUAAUGAUGGCCAGGCUGUCUCCACCCGAGACUCAGUGAAAUUGAACUCGCUGUGAAGAUGCAGUGUACCCGCGGCAAGACGGAAAGACCCCGUGAACCUUUACUAUAGCUUGACACUGAACAUUGAGCCUUGAUGUGUAGGAUAGGUGGGAGGCUUUGAAGUGUGGACGCCAGUCUGCAUGGAGCCGACCUUGAAAUACCACCCUUUAAUGUUUGAUGUUCUAACGUGGACCCGUAAUCCGGGUUGCGGACAGUGUCUGGUGGGUAGUUUGACUGGGGCGGUCUCCUCCUAAAGAGUAACGGAGGAGCACGAAGGUUGGCUAAUCCUGGUCGGACAUCAGGAGGUUAGUGCAAUGGCAUAAGCCAGCUUGACUGCGAGCGUGACGGCGCGAGCAGGUGCGAAAGCAGGUCAUAGUGAUCCGGUGGUUCUGAAUGGAAGGGCCAUCGCUCAACGGAUAAAAGGUACUCCGGGGAUAACAGGCUGAUACCGCCCAAGAGUUCAUAUCGACGGCGGUGUUUGGCACCUCGAUGUCGGCUCAUCACAUCCUGGGGCUGAAGUAGGUCCCAAGGGUAUGGCUGUUCGCCAUUUAAAGUGGUACGCGAGCUGGGUUUAGAACGUCGUGAGACAGUUCGGUCCCUAUCUGCCGUGGGCGCUGGAGAACUGAGGGGGGCUGCUCCUAGUACGAGAGGACCGGAGUGGACGCAUCACUGGUGUUCGGGUUGUCAUGCCAAUGGCACUGCCCGGUAGCUAAAUGCGGAAGAGAUAAGUGCUGAAAGCAUCUAAGCACGAAACUUGCCCCGAGAUGAGUUCUCCCUGAGACUUAGAGUCUCCUGAAGGAACGUUGAAGACGACGACGUUGAUAGGCCGGGUGUGUAAGCGCAGCGAUGCGUUGAGCUAACCGGUACUAAUGAACCGUGAGGCUUAACCUU